Molecule: transfer RNA, 71 nt
Filed under: Loxodonta africana (African savanna elephant)
Lineage: Eukaryota; Metazoa; Chordata; Mammalia; Proboscidea; Elephantidae
Rfam family: tRNA
About the family: Transfer RNA (tRNA) molecules are approximately 80 nucleotides in length. Their secondary structure includes four short double-helical elements and three loops (D, anti-codon, and T loops). Further hydrogen bonds mediate the characteristic L-shaped molecular structure. tRNAs have two regions of fundamental functional importance: the anti-codon, which is responsible for specific mRNA codon recognition, and the 3' end, to which the tRNAs corresponding amino acid is attached (by aminoacyl-tRNA synthetases). tRNAs cope with the degeneracy of the genetic code in two manners: having more than one tRNA (with a specific anti-codon) for a particular amino acid; and 'wobble' base-pairing, i.e. permitting non-standard base-pairing at the 3rd anti-codon position.
Source: Rfam by way of RNAcentral
GCGGUGGUGGUUCAGUGGUAGAAUUCUCACCUUCCAUGCAGGAGACCUGGGUUCGAUUCCCAGUCAGGGUA